RNAcentral lists this ribosomal RNA (377 nucleotides) under Albinaria moreletiana. RNAcentral describes it as "partial large subunit ribosomal RNA". The record is from RNAcentral. Lineage: Eukaryota; Metazoa; Mollusca; Gastropoda; Stylommatophora; Clausiliidae.
AAAGGUAGCAUAAUCAUUUGACUUUUAAAUGGAGCCUAGAAUGAAAGAAAGAACGUAGACAACUUGUCUUAUAAAUAAUACUUUUAAUUUGUUAUAUGAGUGAAAAUACUCAUUAAUUUAAAAUUAGACGAGAAGACCCUUAGAAUUUUAAAAAAAUAUAAGUAAAUCUUAUAAGGUUUUUUGUUGGGGCAACAAUAUUUCAAGAAAUAAAUAUUGCAUUGAAGGAUAAGUCGAUUUAAUAAUUAUAGGAAAAUUACCUAAGGGAUAACAGCAUAAUAUUAACAAUAAGCUUGUGACCUCGAUGUUGGACUAGGUACUAUUAAGGCUAAUCGUUUUAAUAUAAUAUGUUCUGUUCGAACUUUAUUACCUACAUGAUC